UACGUAGGGAGCGAGCGUUAUCCGGAUUUAUUGGGUAAAAGGGUUCGCAGGCGGGUUUGAAAGUCAGCGGUGAAAUCCCACGGCUCAACCGUGGAACUGCCAUUGAUACUGCAGGCCUUGAGUGUAUUUGAAGUGGGCGGAAUGUAGCAUGUAGCGGUGAAAUGCAAAGAUAUGCUACAGAACACCAAUUGCGAAGGCAGCUCACUAAACUACAACUGACGCUCAUGCACGUAAGCGUGGGGAUCAAACA
This 250-nucleotide ribosomal RNA is filed under the name uncultured bacterium. RNAcentral's name for it is "partial 16S ribosomal RNA". It matches the Rfam family "Bacterial small subunit ribosomal RNA", at positions 524 to 774 of the family's 1533-position model. The record is from RNAcentral.